Molecule: ribosomal RNA, 503 nt
Filed under: uncultured bacterium
Lineage: Bacteria
Description: partial 16S ribosomal RNA
Rfam family: Bacterial small subunit ribosomal RNA
Source: RNAcentral
AUUGAACGCUGGCGGCAGGCUUAACACAUGCAAGUCGAGCGGGGUGAUGGUGCUUGCACUAUCACUUAGCGGCGGACGGGUGAGUAAUGCUUAGGAAUCUGCCUAUUAGUGGGGGACAACAUCUCGAGAGGGAUGCUAAUACCGCAUACGUCCUACGGGAGAAAGCAGGGGAUCACUUGUGACCUUGCGCUAAUAGAUGAGCCUAGGUCGGAUUAGCUAGUUGGUGGGGUAAAGGCCUACCAAGGCGACGAUCUGUAGCGGGUCUGAGAGAAUGAUCCGCCACACUGGGACUGAGAAACGGCCCAGACUCCUACGGGAGGCAGCAGUGGGGAAUAUUGGACAAUGGGGGGAACCCUGAUCCAGCCAUGCCGCGUGUGUGAAGAAGGCCUUAUGGUUGUAAAGCACUUUAAGCGAGGAGGAGGCUCUUUUGGUUAAUACCCAAGAUGAGUGGACGUUACUCGCAGAAUAAGCACCGGCUAACUCUGUGCCAGCAGCCGCCGUAA